CUGGCUCAGGACGAACGCUGGCGGCGUGCCUAAUACAUGCAAGUCGAGCGAACAGAGAAGGAGCUUGCUCCUUCGACGUUAGCGGCGGACGGGUGAGUAACACGUGGGCAACCUACCUUAUAGUUUGGGAUAACUCCGGGAAACCGGGGCUAAUACCGAAUAAUCUGUUUCACCUCAUGGUGAAACAUUGAAAG
RNAcentral lists this ribosomal RNA (194 nucleotides) under Lysinibacillus fusiformis. RNAcentral describes it as "16S rRNA. Bacterial SSU". It matches the Rfam family "Bacterial small subunit ribosomal RNA", at positions 19 to 207 of the family's 1533-position model. Lineage: Bacteria; Bacillati; Bacillota; Bacilli; Caryophanales; Bacillaceae. The record is from RNAcentral.